GUGCAGUGCGGCUGCCUAUACAUGCAGUCGAGCGGACAGAUGGGAGCUUGCUCCCUGAUGUUAGCGGCGGACGGGUGAGUAACACGUGGGUAACCUGCCUGUAAGACUGGGAUAACUCCGGGAAACCGGGGCUAAUACCGGAUGGUUGUUUGAACCGCAUGGUUCAAACAUAAAAGGUGGCUUCGGCUACCACUUACAGAUGGACCCGCGGCGCAUUAGCUAGUUGGUGAGGUAACGGCUCACCAAGGCAACGAUGCGUAGCCGACCUGAGAGGGUGAWYSGMCACACUAUGGUGACUGAUGACACCKGCCCACGAGYUCYUACGGGAGGCMGCAGUAGGGAAUCUCUCCGCAAUGGACGAAWGUCWGACGGAGACAACCGCCGCGCUGAGUGAUGAAKGYUWUCSGAUCGUAAAGCKCURUUGUUAGGGAAGAACMASUACCGUUCGAAUAGGGCGGUACCKUGACGGUACCUAACCAGAAAGGCSACKGCUAACUACGUGCCAGCAGCCGCGGUAAUACGUAGGUGGCAAGCGUUGUCMGGAAUUAUUGGGCGUAAAGGGGCUCGCAGGCGGUUUCUUAAGUMUGAUGUGAAAGCCCCCGGCUCAACCGGGGAGGGUCAUUGGAAACUGGGGAACUUGAGUGCAGAAGAGGAGAGUGGAAWUUCCACGUGUAGCGGUGAAAUGCGUAGAGAUGUGGAGGAACACCAGUGGCGARGGCGACUCUCUGGUCUGUAACUGACGCUGAGGAGCGAAAGCGUGGGGGAGGCGAACAGGAUUAGAUACCCUGGUAGUCCACGCCGUAAACGAUGAGUGCUAAGUGUUAGRGUGGUUUCCGCYCCUUAGUGCUGCAGCUAACGCAUUAWGCACUCCGCCUGGGGGAGUACGGUCGCAAGACUGAAACUCAAAGGAAKUAGACGGGGGGCCCGCACACGAGCRGUGGAGCAUGUGGUUURAUUACGWAUGCAACGCGARGAACMUUACCAGGUCKUGGACAUSCGUCUGACAAUCMUARAGAAUAGGACGUCCACCGUUCSGGGGCAGAGAUGACARGUGRUGCAUGGUUGUUCGUCWGGCUCGUGUCGUGAGAUGUUGRGUUGAAGUGCCCKCAMCRAGCGCAASCCKUGAWCCUUUAUGUUGCYAGCAGUUCAKUUGGKCACUCURASGUKAACUGUSCGGUGCRCAAACCGKAGGAAGKUGGRKAUGACKUCAWAUCAUCWUUGACCCGCUUAUGACCUGGGCUACACACGUGCUACAAUGGACAGAACAAAGGGCAGCGAAACCGCGAGGUUAAGCCAAUCCCACAAAUCUGUUCUCAGUUCGGAUCGCAGUCUGCAACUCGACUGCGUGAAGCUGGAAUCGCUAGUAAUCGCGGAUCAGCAUGCCGCGGUGAAUACGUUCCCGGGCCUUGUACACACCGCCCGUCACACCACGAGAGUUUGUAACACCCGAAGUCGGUGAGGUAACCUUUAGGAGCCAGCCGCCGAAGUGACAGAGUGUU
RNAcentral lists this ribosomal RNA (1499 nucleotides) under Bacillus subtilis. RNAcentral describes it as "partial 16S ribosomal RNA". It matches the Rfam family "Bacterial small subunit ribosomal RNA". The record is from RNAcentral. Lineage: Bacteria; Bacillati; Bacillota; Bacilli; Caryophanales; Bacillaceae.